Molecule: non-coding RNA, 93 nt
Filed under: Nitrosomonas sp. Nm34
Lineage: Bacteria; Pseudomonadati; Pseudomonadota; Betaproteobacteria; Nitrosomonadales; Nitrosomonadaceae
Source: RNAcentral
CUUACCCGGGGAGAUCUCCCGAAUGAGGUUAGGGAGAAGUCAGCAGAAGCCGUAUUAGCGAAGAAGCCUUGGAAACAAGGUGGAGCGAAGGGC